AUGCAAAACCUCCUCUCUAUAGAAACAAUUUUUUCUAGUCUCAGCACACAGAACACAAGUUACAAAUAAUGAGAAGAAACUGUUCAUAGAUUUACACUAAAUAUAAUGAUAAUGGAUUAUAGCAAAAAAAGAGCUGUGGGUGUGGUGAGGCCCACCUUGACCAUCCUCCCUCCCUCCAAAGAGGAGGAGAAGCAGAGAAGUGUCACUGUGGUGUGUCUGGCCACCGGGGGCUUCCCCUCAAGCUGGACACUGCACUGGAAGAUGGGGGGCACCAGGAUGUCCUCAGGUGUGUCAAACAGCCUGCAGGUCCUGGAAACAAAUGGCCACUACAGCUGGAGCAGCACCCUGAGCCUCUCUGCAGACCAGUGGAGGAAGGCGGGCUCAGUGAGCUGUGAGGCCAGUCUGAGUGGACAGAGCCCCGUCACUCAAACCUUGAACGCUGACCAGUGCUCAGAGUAGAGCUUCAGCAACACUUCCUGUCUGCAAAUGAUGUGUUUUAUAAUUUGAUGAAGCUACAUGUUUCCUCUGUUGUGAUAUUUCUGCAGAUGUUUGACUCUUGUUGAUGUGCAUGCAGAUUUCAUCAGCUAAUCUUUUCCAUAUUGUGCUUUAAAAUCAUGCUGUAAAGAAAAAAAAGUCUUCAUCACAAAAUAAAAUCACAGCUCAUGAAAAAUCA
This is a non-coding RNA of Oreochromis niloticus (Nile tilapia), 673 nucleotides long. The record is from the annotation of a RefSeq genome assembly. Lineage: Eukaryota; Metazoa; Chordata; Actinopteri; Cichliformes; Cichlidae.